This 775-nucleotide ribosomal RNA is filed under the name uncultured Neocallimastigales. RNAcentral describes it as "partial large subunit ribosomal RNA". It matches the Rfam family "Eukaryotic large subunit ribosomal RNA", at positions 24 to 611 of the family's 3401-position model. The record is from RNAcentral. Lineage: Eukaryota; Fungi; Neocallimastigomycota; Neocallimastigomycetes; Neocallimastigales.
UAUGUGAUCGUCUCUCGCAUAUCAAUAAGCGGAGGAAAAGAAACUAACAAGGAUUCCCCUAGUAACGGCGAGUGAAGCGGGAAGAGCUCAAAUUUGAAAUCUUAAAGGGUUUCCCUUUACGAAUUGUAGUUUAAAGAAGUGUUUUCCUGUUGAGGUUUUGGUAAAAGUUCUUUGGAAUAGGACAUCAUAGAGGGUGAGAAUCCCGUAUUUGACCUUUACUUUCAACUUUGUGAUACACUUUCAAAGAGUCGGAUUGUUUGGGAAUGCAGUCCAAAAUGGGUGGUAAAUUUCAUCUAAAGCUAAAUAUUGGCGAGAGACCGAUAGCGAACAAGUACCGUGAGGGAAAGAUGAAAAGAACUUUGAAAAGAGAGUUAAACAGUACGUGAAAUUGUCAAAAGGGAAGCGUUUGACACCAGUGUUGUUUUUCUGAAAAUCAAUUAAAGAACUGUUUAUGCUAAGUUGUUUAGACUUUAUCAGCUAACUGUUUAGUUUUGAGCUUUUCUUUAAUGCACUUUUCAGUUAACAAGUCAACAUCAAUUUCUUUUGCUGUAAAAAAGCUUGAGGAAGGUGGCUUGAGAUUCGUCUUAAGUGUUUAUAGCCUCUUGCCUAUGCAGUCGGAGAGAUUGAGGUCUGCAGCGUAGAUCCUUCGGGGCUAAAUGCAUUUGUGCUAAGUUAUAGCAUUUUAUAGACAACUUGUUGACUAUGAUUUGUCUUGUAGCUUACUCGCUUAUGUUAUUUUACCUACGCUUAGGAUGUUGAACGCGCACAGAGUCUC